CCUGGAUGCAGGUUCCUGUGGGCAGAGGGCCACCUCCUAAGAAUGAAAAGCGGGGAGGCUGCAUCUGUCUGGAACUGUUGGGACCCAGACACAGACUCAGAAGCUGGUAACAUUGUUUGCCUUUGGGGAGGGACCUGCUGGACAAGGAUAAAGGGAGAACUUGAUACUGUUUAACUUUUUAACCUUCGAUUCGGAAGCAUGUAAACCUAUUAACUUUUCUAAAAGUAGUUUUAAAUUUGCCAACAUUUUAUUAUGAAAAUUUCAAACGUACAGAAAAGUUGAAGGAAUUUCACUGAAUGACAUACCCACUGCUAAGAAUUACUGUUACCAUUUUGCCACACCGACUUUAUCUCAUAAAUAUUAAAUUUUUAAAAGAAAAAUUAAUUGAUCUCUAAGGCCUAGGCAAGGCACUUUAUUAGUAGAUCUUGAUUUUCUCUCUGUCACAUGAGACGCGUGGGGUAAUAGGCCUGUUAUUCUCUAUCACCACAGCUAAUCUGUGCGGCACAGCUGUCGGCUGUCUUGCCCUUAUUUCAUAAGCAUCUCCUGGGGUGGCUCCCUGGUUUAAAACUGUUCCCUCUUUGAGAACAGCCCCCUGUCAGACGUGUGUGAGUCCCGAGUGGCCACAUGGGUACUACGUGGCCUUGCCCCCUGGGACGAGUGGUGCGGAGAUGGAAGAGCAGACAUCCUUGCUGCUCACUGGCAUUCUGAUUCUCCUCUCCUCCAGGCCACAGCGGAGGACUGCACUUCCUGCCUCUUGAAGUUAGCUGGGGCCGGGUGACUGGCUUUGGCCAAUGAAAAGUAACUGGAAGUAAGGCGCGUCCCUUCUAUGGGAAAGAAUUUAAGAGCCAAUGUGGUAUUCUCCACGCCCUGUGUUCCCCUGGUGCACCAACCAAUGAGAGCCCGUGUUCCAGAUGGCGCAGCCACAGGGUGGGGGAGCCUCCCUCAGCCCGCUUCGUUGAGUUGCUACGAGGAGACCAGUUGUCCUGGAGAUCUCAGUGGUCCACAUAUCCUUUGAAUAGAAUUUCACCUGAAGCAUGUUCAGAUCAAAAAAUAUGGGCUAAGACAAACUGUGCAGAAGGGUCCGGGUUUCGCAUUUUGCAAACACUUCCCCUUGCUGUCCAUUCAUUUGUUCAUCGACAGCAACGUUGUCAGAAUGCCUAGCAUAUGCCCGGUCCUGUGCUGCAUCCCGGGAGAUACAGCAAUGCGUAGGACACACGUGUUGCCCCAAUAAGUACAUAAUCUAAUUUAGGCAGCAAACAUGUAGCAACGGCCACAAGAAGACAACUAAUAGUUGAUGCUUGAGGAGCACCUCCCACAUGCCAGCCAGGUGCCAGGUAAUUUACACGCUUCUUACCCCGUUCCCACAACAACCCCGUGAAGCCGCAUGUUUGUCAGGGCUUCAGUUCUCUGUGGCUGUGUAACAGGCUACACCAGAACACCGGGGCUUAAGACAACAAUCCUUUCAUCAGCUCUCCAAAUUCUGUCAUCUGAACGGGGCUCAACUGAGAGGUUCUUCUGCUUUUGUCUGUGCUCCCUCCUGUGGCUGCAUCCGGCUGGCAGGGAGACGGGGACUGGGCUCAGCUAGGACACGGGGAAGCUGGGCUGCUAUCUCUCUGCGUGGUGUCUGGGCCUCUCCCUCCUCAUGUGGCAUCUCCACGUGGUCUCUCCAGCAGGGUGCCUGCACUUACAUGGCAGCUCAGGGCUCCCGAGAGCACAGAAGCUUUCAGGCUUCCUCAGGCUUAGGCCCAGAACUGGCACAGCAUCACUUCCAUCCGAUUCCACUAAUUACAUCAAACUGCAAGCCCUACCGGAAGUCAAGAGGAGGUGACAACACAAGGGCAUGAAUAGUAAAAAGAGUAGUUCAUCAGGAACCGUCAAUAUAAUCGACUAUCAUAGUCAGGAGUCUUUUUGCUGCAAGUGGGAUAAACUUGUGUCAUGCUGACUUAAGUUCUUAAAAAAGGGGUAUGUGUGUGGGGGGAGGAGGAUUUAUUGGCUUUUGUAACUGGAAGCCCAGAUGUGCAUCUGUCUUCAGGAAUGGCUGGAUCAAGGAGCUCAUAUGAUAUAAUCAAGGUUUCACCUUUCUCUCCAUUUCUCAGACAGAUUCUCUCUAUGUGGUGGCUAAGAUGGCUGCCCACUCCUUUAGGACUGCAUCCCACCUGCUUAGCAACCCCUGUGUGAAGAGACAAUCCCUUCCCAUUUUCUUACAGAGAGUUCCAAGCAGGUCUAGAAAAGGUUCAUUUGGGUUUACACACUCAUCUUUAGACCAAUCACUAUGACCAGGGGAUGGAGUUCUCUUAUGGGCCACGUCUGGAACACCCGCCCCCCACUGUCAGCCUAUCAAACCGCAUGGAAGGAAUUCCUGAUGCAAAAGUAGGUAGGAAGGAAGGAAGGGAGGAAGGAAAGGAGGAAGGGAGGAAGAAGGAUGAAGGGAGGAGGGAGGGGAAAAGCCAGUCUCUGUUACCAGAACGAGUUAUGGGAUGCUGGGCAGACAGGCGGUAUGAGCAUCUGCAUUUUACAAAUGAAGAAUCUGAUGCCCAAAACUAGCGGAGGGACUUGCCCAAGUUUCCAGAGCUAGGAGACGCCUCAGCCAAGCCAGGAACCUGGGUCCCGUAGAUGCCAAAGCUCUUGUUCUCAAUGGCCAAAUUAGACAACAGUGUUUGCCAACAAACAAUGACAAGACAGUGUGAAGUGGGCACGGAUGGAACGGGCCACGGUGCAGAGAGGAUGGGGCAGGGACGUUCACUGGCCAUGGUGGGGCGACGAGUCAGGGAGGACUUCCCAGAGGAGGCAAUGCUCGUGCCGGGUCCUUAGGGAGGGUCACUCCAGGACAAGGGAUCAGCAUGUUCAAAUGUGCCUCAGGAACCUGCAAGAUUUUGGAAGGGGGGAAAAAAAGUGGUUUCCAAGCUGAGGGCUAAGGAUCUCUGGAUCCAAGGAUUUAUUAUAGAAGUCUGAGAAUUUACCUCUGAAUCCAGCCUGGUUUAUAAACUGAAAAAAUAAUUUAUCACAUAGAACAACUUAUCAAAUUUAUUUAAAAGUAUUGCUGAAUUCAUGGUAGCUUUUUCUUGGUAGAUUUUUUUUCAAUCAGUAGCUACUAAAAAUAGAAUUAUUGUCAUGCUCGACUCAGGAAUUAUUUUGAUAUUAUAAAGGAGGCUUUAUACGAAAAAAGACUGAGAGACAUUGAUCUCAAAUGUAUGUUGCAAAGGGGCCACUUCUAAAAACAAGGCAGGGAAGGGCAGCGGAACCUGCCCAAGGGGUUUCACUGCCAUCCCACAGGCGAGAGGCCGCCCCUUUAAGCAGGGGAUGGUCGAUUCAGUGUGUGGAAGGUGGUUGGAGGGGCUGAUUCUGCAGGCAGAAGGGCAAAUCAGAGGCUGUUGCUGGUGAGCGGAGCCGGACUGUCGGGGUUCAGAUCCCAGCUCUGCCACUUACCUGCUGUGUGACUUUGGGCAAGAUACUUAACCUCUCUGAUGCCUUUGCAUUUCCAACUGUAAAAUGAGAAUGACGAUAGCUUUAGAGGACAAAUGAGUUCAAAAAUGCAAAGUAGCUGGACUUAAAUCCAGGUUUAGCACCAAGUAAGAAUAUUAUUACCUCUUAUAUGUGUAUGUGUCUAUAUGAACAUUUACUGUUACGCUCCAAGAAAGACACGGCAGUGGCCUGAACUGUACGCCAUAGGGACCUGGUGAAGAAACUCUUGGAGGUAUACACAUAUUUACACACAUCUACAAAGUUUCAUGUACCCCCCACUGUUCCAAACACCGUAUACAGUAUGGGUACUGUAGCCAGUUCGUACACACCUGGAGCAGAAACAUUGUCCUAGGUGUUUUGUUCGGUGAAUACCUGCUGGAGACGGACUGACUGAUUUCCCAUCAUGAGGAGAAAGGCUCCAGGAUCUGUCUUGUCUAAUGCAGAGAACGUUGACCCAGAGAAGAACCAAGAUGACACGUUUCUUCAACCCAGGGAGGACGGUCAGCCCGUGGACCCCUGAGGGAGCCUCAGAGGUGACAGGUGCGAUUUGAGCCGAGCUUGGGUCUCCUAUUUUCUCAGAGCUUGAGAGCCACGGAGAACGGGGAGCAGACCAACCAGGAGGGUGGCCGAGGGAGGGGCAACAAGUCUCCAGGGCAGGGUCAGCUCCUCGGACAUCUCCAUCCCCCCCAGCCCCUACUCAGCACUUCCAGGGCUCAGCGGGGACAGAGGCGUCCCCCUACUGUCUUCUAGCUCACAGGCUUCCCUCAGUGGGAAGGUGGACAACAUGCCUCCCCCAUUUUCCAGAUAAGGAAACUGAGGCCUGGAGAGGUGAGUGAUUGCGCCGCGUGUAAGAAAGAAGCAUGAGGAACAGCAGGGACUGGAUGCCUGUGAAGCGGGCCCCGUGCCAGGGACCUCCCCUAGCAUCUCAGACAGGAAGCUGCUGAAGUGGGCGGAUUGUGCCCAUUCGACAGAAGGAGAAGCCGAGCUCCAGCGGCUGGAGCAUUUCCGGGAGUUCCGAGCUGGUCUCGAAUUUGCAGUGUGUUUCCUUCCAUCACGGUGAGGCCCGAGGGAAGUGAGAGGAGGGAAGUGAGGGAUCAGCUCACGAUUUUGGGCUCAUCCUGGUGACAUUUCUUUAUCGCUUGUGCAUGUAACACUUUAAUUUCACUCCCACCCUAGAAUUUGGAUUCUUCAGGGAGCUGCUUGCUCUGGCCUCCUCAGCCCGGAGAGGGGAACCCCAUGUCCCCCACCUUGUUCCAAGGUUGCACAACCAGGGGACUCAACUAUCACCUGGCCCCUGAGAAUGAUCCUGGUCACGCUCCUCACCCCUCCCUCUCACCCUCCAAAAGCCGAGGGGUCGUGGCCCACACCUGUGGUCCGACUGAAUCCAAGGGCGGGCACCACUUCCUGCGUCUGGCCUCGCCUGCCCCUUGCAAGCUCCCCUCCGCCUACAAGACCAGGCACCAGCCAUGCCAACAGGAAUGGAACUUCCUGCUUGUCUGCAAAUCAUUUUAAGAACCUGGGUAGGAAUUUGGAGUCCUUGAAAGCUCACUUACUGAAGAAUCUGCUCAGGACCCAGCUGGUAUAUUUCUAUUUCUGUUGCGUGACAUUAUUCUCCCAUAGAGCACGUACGUUACACAAGCAAGAAGUCGCGGUGGGGUGCUCCGCGUAUCCACAGUGAUUGAGAGCUUCCUGUGACCCCCCUCUCUGCAUCAGGUCAGCCCACCAGGGCCUUCAUUUCACCCUCGCAACACUCCAGGGAAAUAGUCUCCAGAGUCUCAACUUACAGAAGCGCAAGUGGAGGCUCAGAGAGGGCGAGUCUCGGGCCGCAUCACACGGCUAGAGGUAGGAGUCAGCCUAAAUAUCCUCUCCUGUCCACACACAACAGCACGCGUCGCUGUCCCCAAACACUCACCCCCCACUCACCUCCUCGCUGCCUCAGCUCCCCCAGCUCGCCCCUCCCGUGCCACUGCCACCCUCCCUCUGGACACCAGGCUGCCCCAUCGGUGAGGCAUUCUGCCCAGUUUGUUGUCCAAAUGGUCAGCAAGAUGGUUUGAAAAUAUUCAGAAAGGGCUGAAACUACGGAAAAACAGGCAGCAAUCUAAUAAUCCUAACAACGAGGAGGAGGCGGAGCUAAGCAUCUCGCAGGCAAUGAGAUUAUACAACCAAGGCUCCUUGGCGCAGCCCCAUAAGGAAAACAUUAUCUUCAUUCUCUACACCUGAAACUGAUGUUCCUGAAGGCUAAGCAACUUGUCCCAAGGUCGCAGAGCUAAUAAGUUGGCUGAGCCAGGUUUUGAACCCAGGCCAAUGUGGCACCAAGAUCUACAACGUAGUUUCCUCCCCACUCUGCCUCCACAGGGUCCCUGACCUCAGGGGUACAUGGACAGGGUGGGGUGCAGACAGGUGCAUGGGUCACUGCUCACAGGAAUGGUCACAGCAAACACAGGGAGCAUGCAAGUGCAUGUAACCGGGGGGGAAGGAAUCAAGGAGGGCUUCUCGAAAGAGGUGAUGCCUGAGCUAAGCCCUGAGGGAUGAGCGGCCGGUGUCAAGGGCCUGCAGAGGGGAGAAGGCAAGAAAACAUCCAGAGAAGGGAGCAUGCUGUCACCUGCAGCCACAUACAAGCCACUGUCACAGCGGUCUCUGAAGUCCUCAGGGCAACCAAAGGCCAGGUCUCCUUGGAGUGUGACAUGACGCACACAACUCUGUCAGUAAAAACGACCGUCAUUUGAUAUUUUGUCAUCUAUAGGACACACUAAGAAUCUGGUGGAAAAACACGUUUUCAACUGAGGUGACAUUCACCUGACAGAAAGUUAACCAUUUUUGAAAGUGAACAAUUCAUUCCAUGCCUUCACCGUGUUAUGCGACCACCACCUCUAUCUAGUUCUGAAACAGUGUCAUCACCCCAUAAUAAAGGUCUGCAUCCAUUGACCAUUAUCCCCACUGCCCCCUCCGCCACCCCUGGCAACCACCAGCCCCAUUCCGUCCCUGUGGGUUUACCUGUUCUGGGAAUUUCACACAAAUGGAAUUUACACCGUGUGACCUUUUGUAUGUGGCUUCUUCACUUAGCAUCACGUUUUCAAGGUUUCACUUGAUAUUUUAGACCUUUUCCAGCUGAGGAGGAGGACGGAUCAGAGCUCAGACCACGGUCUGAAUACGACCCAGCCUCUUCUGCUCAUGCGGGGCCUCUCCCUCCCCACCCUGCUCUGCCCUUAGGUGUGUCCUGCCUCCUCAGGACCCAGGAGGCCAUCCACAGGCCCAGGGUGAGUUCUUGCUCUGCUGGUUCCGUCCUGUGGCUUAUGUCCUCUCUGAGCCUCAGGCUUCCCAUCUGUAAAAUGAGAUGGUUGACGUAACAGUGUAAACAUACUUAACACUCCUGAGCUGUACACUUUAAAAUGGUAGAUUUUGUUAUGCAUUUUUCUAUUGCAAUAAAAAAAAAAGGCAAUACAAGGAAAAGCCUAAAACAAGGGGACAGUUGAAUUGAUCAGUUGAUUGCUAAGGGCCCCCCAAUCUUAUAGAUCUAUAAGACAAGGACUCAUGACUGAAAGUCGGGGAUCGGGGGUAGGGGGAAGGCUGGCUGAGGAGACAGAAAGGAAAGGAGCAAGCCAGUUAAGAAAGAGAGAGAGAGAGAGAGAGAGAGGAGAGGGAGGAAGAGGGAGAUUGAGAGAAGGAGAGUGAGGGGGGAAAGGAGGGGGAGGAGGGGGAAAGGAGGGGGAGCAGGAGGACGGCCGUCCUGCAGUGCCAGCCGGUCCUUCGCUGCCUCGGUGCCCAUGUGUUUAUUUCCCGAUUCUCAGUCGUCGUCCUUCUUCAAACCUCAGUCCUGGCCUCCAGCAUGAUCUGUGGGUUAGUCUACAGUCCUGCAGCAGAUGGGAACCGUUGUGUUUUCAAACUGAUUCAGCCUCUGUGAUUGAAACAUUUUUUUCCAACAGUAAUUUGACCCGGAAUCAGGAUGAGAGCAAUAAAUAUUUGACAAGAGAAAAGCACAGUUCAGCCAUGUCCUUAAAGCCGUGUGACCGGGGGCUUGCACACCAGGCGCCAGCACCAAGCCUCCCCUCCCUGGCUGAAGAGACACCAAGAUGUACAGGGACCACACGCUCCAGCUUUGCCUCGCUUCCUUUCAAAUAUCCGGGUUCCUGUUCCUCUGAGCACCCUCCCUCAUCAGAACGGGAGCCGCAGUUUUGGGUCAGGAAGUGAGAGCCCUGGGGAUACGAGGCUUGAACCCCAAGGGAAGCCCACAGUUCCUGAAAGACUAAUUAUAUACCAGCCUUUGCCCCUAAAGUGCAGGUGGAUAAAUGGAUUUAGACAGCAUUGCAAGUAGCAAUCCGAGAACGUUUUGGAGGACAACCACUGUCCACACAGAACCCAAAAUAAAACAUCAGUUUGAUUUAUUCUCCUCGGAUGCCCUCCUGGAGAGAAGCUGGACACUGGAGUUGGCGCCUCAAACUCCCAGCUGAAAAGGCAGCUGGAAACACAGAGAGAACAAGCAGAGCUAUGGGGCCAUUGUUGAGGUAGUGAUGGAGGUAAAUGCAGGUGCUAGGAGGGGCAUGAGGUCAGGGGGAAGAAACCAAGGAGGGCUUCCAGUAAGCGGUGGCACCCGAGCUGAGUCACCAAGGGUGAUGGAGUGAGAAGGCCAGAGCCCCAGAAAUGCUAAUGGGGGUUGGACUGGGGCAGCAAUGGCUUAUUGGUGACUGCCCCUCUCCAUUGAGCCCCUCUAUUUUCCACUAUUCCUUUAAAGAGCAUAUGUCACUUUUUUUUUUUUUUUAAAGAUUUUAUUAUUUCCUUUUUCUCCCCAAAGCCCCCCGGUACAUACUUGUAUAUUCUUCGUUGUGGGUUCUUCUAGUUGUGGCAUGUGGGACGCUGCCUCAGCGUGGUCUGAUGAGCAGUGCCAUGUCCGCGCCCAGGAUUCGAACCAACGAAACACUGGGCUGCCUGCAGCAGAGCGCGCGAACUUAACCACUCGGCCACGGGGCCAGCCCCCAUAUGUCACUUUUUUAAUAAAAUUUUUUAAACAAAAGGAAAAGUAACCAUUUCAAAGGACUUGGAGAGUUUUCAUGAGAACGUGGUCCAGCGUCUGUGUCAUGAUCCUGGGAAGGGAGACCUUUACCUUCUCGCGCCCCCUCCAGCAGCCUCUUUCUGUCAUUGGUGUGGCCGUUUGCUGGGCCAGCCUCAACAAAGGACCAUGCUGGGGGGCUCAGACGACAGACAUUGAUUCUCUCACGGUUCUGGAGGCUGGGAGUCUGCGAUCAAGGUGUCUCAGGGUGGAUUCCAUCGGGGUCCUCUCUCCUGGGCUUGCAGACGGCCGUCUUCGCCCCGUGUCUUCACACGGUCUCCCUCUGUGUGUCUGUGUCCUGAUUUCCUCUUAUAAGGACACCAGGCACAUUGGGUUAAGGCCCACCCUGGUGACCUUAUGUCAUGUUAGCUACCUCUCUAUCACCCGUCUCUCCAAAUACAGUCACAUUCUGGGGUCCUGGGGGUCAGGUUUCAACAGAUGAAUUCUGGAGGUACACGUUCAGCCAUCCCACUGGGGUGCAGAAAAAUGAGUCAAGAUGACUCCUUUGUGCUCCCCCUUUGCUGUGAGAGGGUUCAGAGCAUUAGUACUCACCUGAUUUUGAUGCAAAGAUGCUGGGUGCCGGAGAGGACACAUGUGGAUUGUUAGAGCUCCUUGCCCACCUGGGAGGAAGUACCAGGCACUGGCUGGGAAUCCUGAAAAAUACAUGGAAAGUUAUCAGCUGCCCCUGCGGGCACACAUGCACACACACACACACACAUACACCACACACAGACACGCACACAUAUACACACAUCUUUCUCAACGAUCACUCUAACUCUUUGUUAUGGGAUGUGGGUUGUUAUGGUGAUGGGAGCACAGAGGGACUGAGGUAGAAGUGGACCGAGGGAGAGAUGAUAACGUGAGGAGGCUGUUGCCUUGAUAACCCAGGGUCGCCGUGUGCAUCUGAGCUGAGCCCAAACCUGGUGUCGCCUGCUCCCCUGAUGUCAGCAGGCAUCCGGGAGCCAAGAGUGUUCUUAGAGAUUCUGCAGACCGACCUCUCUCUGCUUCUCCAUGCACAUCCCCCAGCCAACCCAAGGAGGGAGAACCCCAGAGGCUGCCCGUUACCGAUUUCUACCAGGUCUUCUGAUUUCCACGGCCGUGAUCUUGGGGUGCCCUGCCCCGCUUUAUAACUCCACCCCACACAGGGACCAAACUCUCCGCUGGUCUCCUCUGAGCACCACAAGACGAGAUGGGGUUUUCAAGAGAAAGACACAACCCAGGCGGCCAGGGGCCACCAACACCUCGCUCUUCCAGCCUCACCUCAGUUCACCUUCCUGAGUCCCAGCCCCAUCAAGGGCCACACUGGGUCUGAGACCACUCUCAGCCCCUUCCCCUCCCACCUUCUCCACUCCUUCCCUUCUCUCUCCUAUCUGUAGCUCCUGACUCCCCAGCAAGGACACUGAGUCCUGGUCUUGGAGACCUUGCUGGGAAAGCCAGGGGUGGUCAGGGAUUGGCACUGCCUGGUUCUCCACGUGUCUAUCCUUAAAGCCCCUCUGGGGUCCUCUCAUUCCGUGGCAGGCCGGGAGCAAGGGUGAAUCCCUUGCAAUGAUAACCAGCCUGACUAUCAUUUGUGUAGGAUUUCGUAUCCUCCACAGCCCUUCCGCAGACAUGAUCUCACUAACUCUUCACCACAGCUUCCUCUUCAGUUCCAUCUCACCAAUGGAGAAACUGAAGCCCAGAGAGGUGAAGCGACUGGCUCAAGGUCACACAGUGGGUAACUGGCAGAGCCAGAGUGGGGACCCAGGGCUGUCCACCUACGUGCCCUGACCACCCUUAGGACCCUCUACCCCUUGGCCUCUCUCAGUGGUGAAAUUAUGCUUAAAUACAGGUGAGGGGCGGGAGGGGAAACCAGGCCACAGGCCCAAGAUCCGGCUCUCCGGAAUGGGGCCGAGAUUCCUUCGAGUGAAUACACGUCAUCUCACAGGUCUGGCCUCAGAACUAUCAUUAGACCGUGCAGAAUCCACGCGGCCUGCCAGGGCCCUGGACGUGAGGAGCCCUG
This 10505-nucleotide long non-coding RNA is filed under the name Equus caballus (horse). Its description in RNAcentral is "lncRNA (ENSECAG00000051085.1)". The record is from RNAcentral. Lineage: Eukaryota; Metazoa; Chordata; Mammalia; Perissodactyla; Equidae.